This is a transfer RNA of 72 nucleotides. It matches the Rfam family "tRNA". Rfam says of the family: Transfer RNA (tRNA) molecules are approximately 80 nucleotides in length. Their secondary structure includes four short double-helical elements and three loops (D, anti-codon, and T loops). The record is from Rfam.
UCCUCGGUAGCUCAGUGGUAGAGCAAGCGGCUGUUAACCGCUUGGUCGCUGGUUCGAAUCCGGCCCGGGGAG